Molecule: ribosomal RNA, 2901 nt
Filed under: Klebsiella pneumoniae
Lineage: Bacteria; Pseudomonadati; Pseudomonadota; Gammaproteobacteria; Enterobacterales; Enterobacteriaceae
Description: 23S ribosomal RNA
Rfam family: Bacterial large subunit ribosomal RNA
Source: RNAcentral
GGUUAAGCGACUAAGCGUACACGGUGGAUGCCCUGGCAGUCAGAGGCGAUGAAGGACGUGCUAAUCUGCGAAAAGCGUCGGUAAGGUGAUAUGAACCGUUACAGCCGGCGAUGUCCGAAUGGGGAAACCCAGUGUGAUUCGUCACACUAUCGUUAACUGAAUACAUAGGUUAACGAGGCGAACCGGGGGAACUGAAACAUCUAAGUACCCCGAGGAAAAGAAAUCAACCGAGAUUCCCCCAGUAGCGGCGAGCGAACGGGGAGCAGCCCAGAGUCUGAAUCAGCUUGUGUGUUAGUGGAACGGUCUGGAAAGUCCGACGGUACAGGGUGAUAGUCCCGUACACCAAAAUGCACAGGCUGUGAACUCGAAGAGUAGGGCGGGACACGUGGUAUCCUGUCUGAAUAUGGGGGACCAUCCUCCAAGGCUAAAUACUCCUGACUGACCGAUAGUGAACCAGUACCGUGAGGGAAAGGCGAAAAGAACCCCGGCGAGGGGAGUGAAAAAGAACCUGAAACCGUGUACGUACAAGCAGUGGGAGCACCUUCGGGUGUGACUGCGUACCUUUUGUAUAAUGGGUCAGCGACUUAUAUUCUGUAGCAAGGUUAACCGUAUAGGGGAGCCGCAGGGAAACCGAGUCUUAACUGGGCGUUAAGUUGCAGGGUAUAGACCCGAAACCCGGUGAUCUAGCCAUGGGCAGGUUGAAGGUUGGGUAACACUAACUGGAGGACCGAACCGACUAAUGUUGAAAAAUUAGCGGAUGACUUGUGGCUGGGGGUGAAAGGCCAAUCAAACCGGGAGAUAGCUGGUUCUCCCCGAAAGCUAUUUAGGUAGCGCCUCGUGAAUUCAUCUUCGGGGGUAGAGCACUGUUUCGGCUAGGGGGUCAUCCCGACUUACCAACCCGAUGCAAACUACGAAUACCGAAGAAUGUUAUCACGGGAGACACACGGCGGGUGCUAACGUCCGUCGUGAAGAGGGAAACAACCCAGACCGCCAGCUAAGGUCCCAAAGUCAUGGUUAAGUGGGAAACGAUGUGGGAAGGCACAGACAGCCAGGAUGUUGGCUUAGAAGCAGCCAUCAUUUAAAGAAAGCGUAAUAGCUCACUGGUCGAGUCGGCCUGCGCGGAAGAUGUAACGGGGCUAAACCAUGCACCGAAGCUGCGGCAGCGACACUAUGUGUUGUUGGGUAGGGGAGCGUUCUGUAAGCCUGCGAAGGUGACCUGUGAGGGUUGCUGGAGGUAUCAGAAGUGCGAAUGCUGACAUAAGUAACGAUAAAGCGGGUGAAAAGCCCGCUCGCCGGAAGACCAAGGGUUCCUGUCCAACGUUAAUCGGGGCAGGGUGAGUCGACCCCUAAGGCGAGGCCAAAAGGCGUAGUCGAUGGGAAACAGGUUAAUAUUCCUGUACUUGGUGUUACUGCGAAGGGGGGACGGAGAAGGCUAUGUUAGCCGGGCGACGGUUGUCCCGGUUUAAGCAUGUAGGCUGGUUGUCCAGGCAAAUCCGGAUAAUCAAGGCUGAGGUGUGAUGACGAGGCACUACGGUGCUGAAGUAACAAAUGCCCUGCUUCCAGGAAAAGCCUCUAAGCAUCAGGUAACAUCAAAUCGUACCCCAAACCGACACAGGUGGUCAGGUAGAGAAUACCAAGGCGCUUGAGAGAACUCGGGUGAAGGAACUAGGCAAAAUGGUGCCGUAACUUCGGGAGAAGGCACGCUGGUGUGUAGGUGAAGCCCCUGCGGGUGGAGCUGAGACCAGUCGAAGAUACCAGCUGGCUGCAACUGUUUAUUAAAAACACAGCACUGUGCAAACACGAAAGUGGACGUAUACGGUGUGACGCCUGCCCGGUGCCGGAAGGUUAAUUGAUGGGGUUAUCCGUAAGGAGAAGCUCUUGAUCGAAGCCCCGGUAAACGGCGGCCGUAACUAUAACGGUCCUAAGGUAGCGAAAUUCCUUGUCGGGUAAGUUCCGACCUGCACGAAUGGCGUAAUGAUGGCCAGGCUGUCUCCACCCGAGACUCAGUGAAAUUGAACUCGCUGUGAAGAUGCAGUGUACCCGCGGCAAGACGGAAAGACCCCGUGAACCUUUACUAUAGCUUGACACUGAACAUUGAGCCUUGAUGUGUAGGAUAGGUGGGAGGCUUUGAAGCGUGGACGCCAGUCUGCGUGGAGCCAACCUUGAAAUACCACCCUUUAAUGUUUGAUGUUCUAACGUUGGCCCCUGACCGGGGUUGCGGACAGUGUCUGGUGGGUAGUUUGACUGGGGCGGUCUCCUCCCAAAGCGUAACGGAGGAGCACGAAGGUUAGCUAAUCCUGGUCGGACAUCAGGAGGUUAGUGCAAUGGCAUAAGCUAGCUUGACUGCGAGCGUGACGGCGCGAGCAGGUGCGAAAGCAGGUCAUAGUGAUCCGGUGGUUCUGAAUGGAAGGGCCAUCGCUCAACGGAUAAAAGGUACUCCGGGGAUAACAGGCUGAUACCGCCCAAGAGUUCAUAUCGACGGCGGUGUUUGGCACCUCGAUGUCGGCUCAUCACAUCCUGGGGCUGAAGUAGGUCCCAAGGGUAUGGCUGUUCGCCAUUUAAAGUGGUACGCGAGCUGGGUUUAGAACGUCGUGAGACAGUUCGGUCCCUAUCUGCCGUGGGCGCUGGAGAAUUGAGGGGGGCUGCUCCUAGUACGAGAGGACCGGAGUGGACGCAUCACUGGUGUUCGGGUUGUCAUGCCAAUGGCACUGCCCGGUAGCUAAAUGCGGAAGAGAUAAGUGCUGAAAGCAUCUAAGCACGAAACUUGCCCCGAGAUGAGUUCUCCCUGAGACUUUAAGUCUCCUGAAGGAACGUUGAAGACGAUGACGUUGAUAGGCCGGGUGUGUAAGCGCAGCGAUGCGUUGAGCUAACCGGUACUAAUGAACCGUGAGGCUUAACCUU